GAUGAACGCUGGCGGCGUGCCUAAUACAUGCAAGUCGAGCGAACAGACGAGGAGCUUGCUCCUCUGACGUUAGCGGCGGACGGGUGAGUAACACGUGGAUAACCUACCUAUAAGACUGGGAUAACUUCGGGAAACCGGAGCUAAUACCGGAUAACAUGUUGAACCGCAUGGUUUAACAGUGAAAGACGGUCUUGCUGUCACUUAUAGAUGGAUCCGCGCCGCAUUAGCUAGUUGGUAAGGUAACGGCUUACCAAGGCAACGAUGCGUAGCCGACCUGAGAGGGUGAUCGGCCACACUGGAACUGAGACACGGUCCAGACUCCUACGGGAGGCAGCAGUAGGGAAUCUUCCGCAAUGGGCGAAAGCCUGACGGAGCAACGCCGCGUGAGUGAAGAAGGUCUUCGGAUCGUAAAACUCUGUUAUUAGGGAAGAACAAAUGUGUAAGUAACUAUGCACGUCUUGACGGUACCUAAUCAGAAAGCCACGGCUAACUACGAG
This 497-nucleotide ribosomal RNA is filed under the name uncultured bacterium. RNAcentral's name for it is "partial 16S ribosomal RNA". It matches the Rfam family "Bacterial small subunit ribosomal RNA", at positions 28 to 507 of the family's 1533-position model. The record is from RNAcentral.